RNAcentral lists this ribosomal RNA (253 nucleotides) under uncultured bacterium. RNAcentral describes it as "partial 16S ribosomal RNA". It matches the Rfam family "Bacterial small subunit ribosomal RNA", at positions 524 to 776 of the family's 1533-position model. The record is from RNAcentral.
UACGUAGGGGGCCAGCGUUGUCCGGAAUCAUUGGGCGUAAAGCGCGCGUAGGCGGUCAGGUAAGUCCGGUGUGAAAGUCAAAGGCUCAACCUUUGAAUGCCGCUGGAAACUGCCUGACUUGAGUCCGGUAGGGGCGAGUGGAAUUCCUGGUGUAGCGGUGAAAUGCGCAGAUAUCAGGAAGAACACCCGUGGCGAAGGCGGCUCUCUGGGACGGUACUGACGCUGAGACGCGAAAGCGUGGGGAGCGAACAGG